CCUACGGGAGGCAGCAGUGAGGAAUAUUGGACAAUGGGCGGAAGCCUGAUCCAGCCAUGCCGCGUGCAGGAAGACUGCCCUAUGGGUUGUAAACUGCUUUUGUACGGGAAGAAACACUCCUACGUGUAGGGGCUUGACGGUACCGUAAGAAUAAGCAUCGGCUAACUCCGUGCCAGCAGCCGCGGUAAUA
Molecule: ribosomal RNA, 190 nt
Filed under: uncultured Flavobacterium sp.
Lineage: Bacteria; Pseudomonadati; Bacteroidota; Flavobacteriia; Flavobacteriales; Flavobacteriaceae
Description: partial 16S ribosomal RNA
Rfam family: Bacterial small subunit ribosomal RNA
Source: RNAcentral